This 19249-nucleotide long non-coding RNA is filed under the name Xyrichtys novacula (pearly razorfish). The record is from RNAcentral. Lineage: Eukaryota; Metazoa; Chordata; Actinopteri; Labriformes; Labridae.
UUUUCUUUGAUUCAUACUUUCCAAACCUUUCCCCUGAACUCUACAGAUUUAAGACAUCAGGUUUCAAACUGGAUCAUUUUUCUCUAAAAUCUCAUUAUUUCCUCUUUAUUUAGGUUGUGGCGCUGCAGUUUGACGAAGAUCAGCUGUUCUUCUCUGGCCUCAGCUCUGAAGUCCAACCCCUCCCAUCUGAAAACUCUGUGGCUGUAUGGAAACAAUCUGCAGGGUUCAGACGUGGAGCUGCUGUGUGAUCUUCAGAAGAGUCCAGACUACAGACUGGAGGAUCUGGAGUCAGUAUAGAGUUGGAGUUAGUCUGUGCUGAUCUCUCCUGUUCCUCUCCACACAGUAUCACAGCAGAUAUUCAGUAUUUCCUGCUGACUCUUCGACCCUCUCAGAGGAUUAUCUCUUUAGUGAAGCUGUGAGAACAGAAAUCAUCAAACCAGGAGUGUAAGAGUGUCAGUGAUGAAAAAAGUGUCUCCUCGUCUCUAUAUUUCAGAUCAAAUGUAGAAAUGAGACAUAAUGAAACAGAAAUGUUCAGUUUCUGCUCUGAAGUCCAGUUUAUAGUUCUCUGUAUUCAACACAGACUUUAUUUCUCUGCUAACUUGUUGAUUUUGAGCUCUAAGUCUGAAAACAGACAGCUGUUCUUUAUACUUGUUAUUUUCACAGCAGGUUUGUUCGAUCAGCUUUAACACAUUUGACAGGAAUGAUUUCUUUAUUUUGAUGAUGUUGGUUUAUUUGUGAGGAAACCUGCUGCUUUACACCAUCACUUCUGGUCUGAGCAGGACUGAGACCUGCUGGUCUGUAAACUGGAUGUUCUUCAGUCCAGCUGAUGAAGUGAGUCUCAGAGUGGAAACACUGAACGUCUUUUUUUCUCUCCUCAGAUGGAGUUAACAUCUGUCAGAGUGAAUAAGAAGAGGAUCGUGUGUUUCCUGACGAUCAGAGAGGUGGAGGCAGCAGCAGUGAGGGUGAGGUGAGUCUCUGACUGAGAGACUGACUGACCAAUCACAGCGGGCGGAGAGGACUCUGGGAGCUGCACUUUGACCUGCUCUGAGAUCAGCUCAGGACCUGGACUCUGGAUAUUUGAUAUUUUCCCUCAUACUCUGGGAUCAAACAGUCUGAACAGGUUUGUUUUGUUGAUGGAAACAUGAUCAUAAAUUUACACUUUGAUUGGAUUACUUUGUUUUCACCAUGAUGCAGCGCCACCCAGUGGAAAUAUAAAGAGGUGGAGUUGAUUUAUUCCCUCAUAUUUCUGCAGCAGGAGUUGAUACCAUGUGUGAGAGUAGAUCAGUCAGAAGUUCAGAUUAAACCCAAAGGUUUUUUCUUUCCUUUGCACCGUUAGAGACCGAAUAUAAACUGAAGGGAGAGGAAGAGAAGUGAGGAGAGAUGGAGGUGAAGGGAGGAGGAGGAGGACAGGGUUUGGGGUUUUAACAAAAAUCUGAAGCUUUAUUCUUUCACUUGAUUAUUUUUAUUCAUCCGUUUUCUUCUUCAUUUUCUGAACUGAUUGUAAAUAUUGACUGGAGGUAAAUUGACCUUAUUUUAUAUUAUUAGACAUUAUUUUCCGUCUCUUUACAUGUUUUUGUUCUCAUAUCAUCUUUGUGCUCAUCAAUAAUCGAUUCCCUCCAGUUUGAACAAAUACAAUUAUUAAACCAUAAAUGAGACCUGAGAGUAAAAUUAAAAUGUGUGAAAUAUAAUCAGUCAAAGGAAAGAUUCUUAAACAAAAACAAAAUCAUUAUUUUUACUUUAUUAUGAUGGAGAAGUUUUCCUCUGACAGACAAAAAUAACCAUAUUGACCGGAGUCUGGAAAAAGUGAGAUCAGCAUCUAUUCAGGGUGAAGUCAUUAAUGUGGUCGAUGCUGUUUUAUAAACUCAGUGUUGUUGAUUACAAUCUCAGCUUCAUAAACUGAUGCUACAGUGGAGUGACUUCCUGUAAAAUCCACUGGCUUUGUGAGACCGUCAGCUUUCAGGAGAUCAGUUUGUGUUUCUGUGACACUCCAAAGCUUUUCUAUCCCACAGAAAAGAUCGGUGUGUUUUCAGAGACCUUCCUGAUCCCAUCCCUCCAAAAUAAAAAUAAUCUGAUGGUUUAUGGAUUCAUUUCAGUAACAAAGUGUCAUUUCUGUUGUUAGCCAAUCAGAGGCUGUAUCUGCCAUCAGCUGACCUGUAAAGGUCCAAUCAGAAGUCAGGACAGCUCAUGCCACAGUCUGAUCACACUACAGACACAUAAAACAUAGAACUAUUGUAAACAGAUUUGUCCUCUUCAGUUUAUCUACUAUCAAUAGAUCUGUGCUCUGUCUGUGUAACACUCUGUUGGUUCUUCAUUUACACCAGAUCAUUUUUUAUUUCAUUUCACUGUAACAAUGCCAUUUAAAGAUAAUAAAAACUUUAUUUGAACCAAAACAUGUUAAAAACGUCAACUCGGCUCGUUUCAUUCACUGUGUGCAAUUGAUUAUUAUUAUUUUUCAUUCAAACAGAAACUAGAUUUGGUCUUUAAAAAGUCCUCAAAGUGAGUCUGAAAAGUAGAGGAAGGUUUUAUCAUCAGGGUGCAGCACAGUUGUUUCCUGUGUUUUCAUUUGUGAUAUUCUCUCUAAGGUGUGUUAUUGUUCAUUUAAAGUAUGUGGAGGACAAAUCCACACAUCUAACAAAGAAGGUAAAAUAUAAAGAUAGGAGAUUUCUGCAUGACAUCAACGAUAUCCUGGAUUUAGUUUUCUAAGCAACAGGUGGUCGUCUUUUAUCGGGGGUACUUUGAUCCAGAAAUCUGAAAAGGGGUUACUAAAGCAAAAGAAGAAAAACCAGAGACUGUAUAUAGAAUGGACAGAGUCUGCCUCCUCGCUGGGUGAAGCCACUCUGAGAACAGCACCCUCUGUUGAUGGGCUGCAGUAUAGGUCAUAAAUCCCGCCUGCGCCAGCAAAGCUUAUGGAGCUGUGGACGAACUUUAGAAAUUUAUUACACAGAACAUAAUUUUUUCUCCCUCCUGGUUGUGAUGUUGACAUGUAGUUAUUGUCAGACUGGUUUGUGCUCAAGUCCUCUUUUUUCUGUGAAGCUCCAUUUUUAAAAGUUAUUAGGGGGUUCAUGUUUGCUAUGACGUUUCACAGCCAUAAGGAAUAACCAAUCGGAGCCUAGCACUUCUAGCCAAUCAGAUGCGAAGGAGGGUGGGACCUUCCCCUACCAUCCCACGAAAAAAAAAACCAAACACGUCCGGGUUUGCCGACCUUUAUUUCUGAGCCCCAGAUAACAGGACAGAGAUACCUAAAGCAUACAACGUGAACUUGUGUUAUCACAUCAACAUAUUUGGCUCCUACACUGAAUAUAAUGUUGGACAGUGAUCUUUGUAAAGUGAGGUGAAGGAGGAGUUUGUGUAGUGACAACACAAUCACACUGUGUGCAAAAAUAAAAACCUGUUCAACCAAAUCUUCACAUUUAGUUGGGGUAUGAGAAGAGGAGUGCUCAUCUGAAGUUUGUUGGUUUGACCAGCAGGUGGAGCUGCUGCAUUAACAAUAAACUGAGACUCAACCAAACAAACAAGUUCCUGUUUUAGUGAACUUUGAAUUUGGACUCAGGAGAGGAAGAUGGUUGUCAAGAAUACUGAACUUAAAGGAUGAUCAAUAACGGUCAGUAAAUGAGGAGAAGAAUCUGUGAUCUGGUGGUUUAGGUUUCAGUGAAAACAGUCAGAGUGAAAGUGAAAGUAUGUGAGCUGAAAAACAGACUCCAUUUUGAGAAAAGAAGAGAGAGGAGAGGACGAGGAGACAGGGUGAGUGUUUACUCUGUUUUAGUUUUAAUGUCAAACUCUUUAUCUGUUUUAUCUGUUAAUGAAAAAAUGAUUUACUGACUAAAACACUUAAAAACUGUAAAACAAAGAAACCUGAGCAGACAAAGAGCUGGAUCAGUUCUUCAUACAGGAAACUGUGUACGUGCAGUUCUUCCUCCUCUUUGUUUAGACUUGUCUUUUUGGUAAAAAUAUUAAUCAGAAUCUUUUUAGCGUCUCAUUUCAACUUUAAUCCAGUCUCCUUAAGUUUUUAUGAGAGUUCAGGGACCUCACAGCUGAUUUUGUUUUGACCAUGAAUCAGACAAGGAUCAGAGAGAGGCCCUGCAGGGUGGGGAGACAUCAGAAGUUCUUGGAUAUUAAACCUGUAUAACUCUUAAAGAGGGGGAUGAAGCUGUUUUUAGACUCUGUACUUCCUUUCUGAUUCCUCUUUUAUUUCUGAACUCUCUCUUCCUGUUUGUAUCUCACCUGUUUGUCUUCUUUGUCCUCAGGUUGUAUAACUCGGUUUCAGCCUCCAUAAAUUUGCACAACAGAAGAUGGAGAAGAUGAGUGUUGGUGUCGAGGAAGAGGAGGGCAGAGCAGAGUCUGAUAUGUUUGACUGUCUGUCUAUGAAGAGUGACCAGUCUAAAGGUUUUGAUAUAAACUUCAGUAAAGAACCAGGACCCCCAGAGGAGGACAGAACAAAGUCUGUUAUCUCCAGCUGUCUGUCUAUGAAGAGUGACCGGUCUAAAGAUCCUCCACCAAAAUUCAGUGAAGAACCAGGACCCUCAGAUUCACAGUAAGAGAAACACUUUUCAAUCACCAAACUCUCAAACAACAACAAUUGACGUUUCAAAUACAAAACUUUAAAUCCUGACCCCUCUGUUUUCUCCUCUGUUCUCAAAACACUGAUUUUCCUCUUAAACCUGCCAACCUGGAUAAAAUUCAAUUCAAUUCAACUUUAUUUAUAAAGCCCAUUUCAUGUACAAGGCAGACUCAAUGUUCUUCACAACAGGUGUACAUAGUUAAAAACAGUUAUACAAAAAUCAAUUAGAAAUCAAUGUAAGAGUGUAAGUGCAAGUCAACUUCACUGCAUGCACACUUAAACUCGUACAUGCGCACGCACUCACACAUGGACACGUGCACACGUACACACAUACACACACAGUUUAAAAGAAUGCUAUAGAAAUCUGUUUUUAAAGAUGGCUACUGAUGUGUCUAACUGUGUCAGGCAUGGUGUUCCAUUUUUGUGGGGCAUAAACACUCAAAGCUGCCUCCCCUCAUUUGGAUCUGGUGUGAGGGAUGAGUAAGUUGCCACUGCCUGUUGACCGAAGUGUUCUUGCUGAGGUGUAGGUGAUGAGCAUAUCUGUGAUGUACUGAGGUGCAAGGCCAUGUAGUGCUUUGUAAACCAGGAGGAGUAUUUUGAAAUCGAUUCUUGUCCUAACGGGUAACCAAUGUACAGAUUUGAGAACGGGUGUGAUGUGUUGAUAUUUUUUGGUACCAGUGAGAAUACAUGCAGCUGCAUUUUGAAUUAACUGUAACCUCUGAAGACUUGAUUUUGGGAGUCCAGUGAAUAAACCGUUAUCCAGUAGUAAUCCAGUCUACUUCUUAUAAAUGCAUGGAUGAAUUUUUCUAAGUCUGAUUUUGACAGAAAGCCCCUCAAUUUGGAGAUAUUUUUGAGAUGAUAGAAAGAUGAUCUUGAAUUGAAUCUUGUAAUGGAUAAAAGGCUGGUAAAGAAAAACUCACUGAGCACAGAUUUACUUAUUAUUGUUGAUGUUUAUAAAAAUGAAAGUCGUUUAAAACAGCAUUUGAAAAGGAUUCUGACUUCUUGUAUUUUCUGAUUUGGUUCCUGUGUUUGGGACGUUUUGAGCCUGUUAGUCUUUGGACUGUGGUCUGUAGACCCCAGAAAACAGUCUGUGGGUCACAAAAUACCAGAAGACCAAUGAAGAAAUAAAUCCUGAGAAAUAAAAACUCAUUCAGAGCAUCUGUCUGUUAUUAGACCUUUAGAUCUGAUCGGUGGAAAAAAAAGUUUUAAACUGUCAGAGAAAAUCUCUCUACCUUCAAAAUCACUUUAGUUUUUUCUCUUGUCACGACACUUCAGGCAGCAGCAGCUGAAUAUUUUACAGGAGAUUGUUUUAUGUUAGAGAAAAGAGAAACUCUGGUUUAAUAAAUGUUUCUUAUUCUGUAUCUUUCAAACAUGAAAUAAUAAAGAAAAUAAAUGUUCUUUAUUUCCACAGAGAGACACAGAGAUGUGACUCUGUGGAGGAGCAGCUGUCCAGAUGUUCUUUAUGUCAGGACGUCCUGAAGGAUCCAGUCUCUACCCGCUGUGGACACCAGUCUACUUCUUCAGGAUACACCUCCUGUCCCCAGUGUGGAAAAAGAACCAGAACAGUUCUUGUCUUUCAGACAGACAGCCAGUCCAGCUCUGAUCGAAGUAAGUCUGAACACCUUUAAACCCUAAAUUAUACAAUUUCUGCCAGAAUUAUUUUGCUUAUUUUAGCCAUAAAAUUGGCAGAAAAUGUCCUAUGAGUGAGUGCUUUUUUAUUCAUUGGCUUUCAACCCUGCAUGAGACUCGGCUCCUGUUUUAGUGUUUUAUGUUUUUUUUUUUUUUUUUUUUUUAUGUCUAUGCUUUUUUGUCUAUUUAUAUACAGCACUUUGGUUGGCUGUGGUUGUUUUAAAGUGCUUUACAAAUAAAGUUGAGUUUUACCCAUUUUUCCAGAACACUUCAAACUUUCAAUAUCUGGCUGUCAUUUACGAUUUACUGCCUGUUAAAAGAGUGCUAUAACAUUUUAAGAUAAAGAAAAACACAAAAACGGAAUACGAUUUUUUGAGUUUUAAUGAGAAAAAACAGAAAAUAUUCAUGAAAAACAGAUUUUUCAUUUGAAAUAAAAAAAAAUUAAAGAGUAUCAAACAUAUUUACAACAAAAACUUUGGAGUGCUGUCUCUCCAAGUGCAAAAACAGGCUAAAUAAAUACAACUAUGUCCACGCGUUUCUCCUCGUUUCUCCUCUCUCACUCAGAGGUCUUUGUGAAACUGUCAGAAGCUGUUCCUUUCUGUCUGCGGACACAGACCCACAUCACACCACUCACACUUCCAGGCAGUUCUCCUUAUGACAAAGUUUGCAGCGUCGUCUCCUCAUGCUAGUUCUUUGAGACUUCAUCUGUCCAUGGCUUGUUUGGGCACGUAGCUAUACUCUACUAUAAGCGAAGUGGAUGUAAUUCUCGGCGGGCAUGUGUUUCUCGGUACAACAUCAACGGUUGCAAAAUGAGAAAACGACGAGAAAACCGCCGAAGAUGAAGACUUGGUGGUAAGAAGAAAAGCAACGUCACUAACCUUUGAAGAUGAAGACUCGUUGAUUAAAAGAACGUCACUAACCAUAGAAGAUGAAGACUCGUUGAUUAAAAGAAAAGCAACGUCACUAACCAUUGUAGAUGAAUAUUCGUUGAUUAAAAGAAAAGCCACGUCACUUAUCUGUAAUUAUUUCGGUUACAAAAAGGAUGACGUCACCUAACACCUGUUCUGUGACGGCAGUGUCUUUCAUCUGUUUCCACAAUAACGUCCCAGCAGAACAAUAAAAACUAAAAAUAUCUCUAAGACAGACAGAAGCCAUUCUACUAACAUUCACUAAAAGAGGGAAGAUCAGUGCAGGUUAACUGUCCUCAAGAUUUCAGCAGAAAGUCAGAUUCAGAUCAUCUGCUAAAAAUUCCUCUAUUUUUUAAUAACGCUUAUAUAUCACAGGGUUGAACAACUUUGCAAUGUUAGUGUUUUCUAAUAUCAUGCUGUCUUAAUAGGCACACGUUACUACAAACUCACUGCCUUAGCAUGGUAUUCUAAUAAAGUCACAACAGGUUAUAAGUGUUGAUUUACUCAUAAAAUAACGUAAAUAAAUUAAAAACGACACAGAGAGCGCUUCAUUCAUCCAGAAACCAACACAGAAAACCAACCAGUCAAACUUUACCUUUCUCUGUCUGAAGUUGCUCUGAAAGCUUCUCCAUCUGUCCCAAAGUCGUCUGUAAACCUCAGUGGAGGUUUUCUCACUUGGGAGAGUUUAUCACAGACAUUUUCCUUUGAAAUAAUCCCUUUUUUGUCACUUUUCUCUCUUUUUGCUCCGUUUCUCUGCUCUGUUGUGUGUCUAUCCGCUGCUCCCUUUGAGAGGGGGAGAGGGGACGAGGAGACAGAUUUUCUCACUUCCCCAAACAGCAGGAGUGAAAUUACCGUAAUAACCGUUUAUUGACCGUGUGGCGCAACUUCUCAGCUUUCAGAAACCGUUGGAGAUUUUUUUUUGAUAGAACAAACUACCGCAAAGUUACGGUAAUUUAAAGAGCGCCUGUAUAAAGGUGUCGGCGCCGACGGACUGUGAGGAAAAGUCUGUGUGGAUGAAAACUCAGCUGACUGAUUUUCACAAAGACGUUUCAGUGUUGAGAAGUUUGGUUCAUUUUAUUUUUCUUCUCUUUCAGAUGAUGGCCUCCCGCAGGAGGUUUUAGAUGAACAUAAGAUCAGUCUGAAGAGGAGAUGUGAACGUGUGAAUGAAGGAAGUGAUGAAACAGGAAGUAGUCAAACCCUCCUCAACAGGAUCUUCACUGAGCUCUACAUCACAGAGGGACUGAGUGAAGAGGUGAACACCCAACAUGAGGUGAGACAGCUGGAGACUACUUCAAAGAUGAAGACCCUCCAUGACAUGCCCAUCAGGUGUCAUGAGAUCUUUAAAACCUUACCUGACCAACAGAAGAAGCUCAUCAGAGUGGUUCUGACCAACGGCGUGGCUGGUGUUGGAAAAACCUUCUCAGUGCAGAAGUUCACUCUGGACUGGGCAGAGGGUUUGGAGAACCAAGACCUCCAUCUGGUGGUCCUGCUUUCAUUCAGGGAGCUGAACCUGAUCAGAGAUGAGCGCUUCAGUCUUCUGAGUCUGCUCCAUGUUUUCCAUCCAACCCUAGAGAAGGUCACAGCAGAGACGCUGGCUGUCUGUAAACUUCUGUUCAUCUUUGACGGUCUGGAUGAAAGCAGACUGUCUCUGGAUUUCACAGACUCUGAGGUGGUGUCUGACGUCACACAGAAGUCUUCACUCAACGUUCUGAUAACAAACCUCGUCAAGGGGAACCUGCUCCCCUCAGCUCUCAUCUGGAUAACUUCUCGACCUGCAGCAGCCAAUCAGAUCCCUCCUUCACAUGUGGACAGGAUAACAGAAGUACGAGGCUUCACUGACGCCCAGAAGGAGGAGUACUUCAGGAAGAGGUUCAGAGAUGAAGAUCUGUCCAGAAGAAUCAUCCAACACAUCAAGUCCUCCAGGAGCCUCCACAUCAUGUGUCAGAUCCCGGUCUUCUGCUGGAUCACUGCGACAGUUCUGGAGGACAUGAUGAGAAGAAAGCAGAGAGGAGAGCUGCCCAAGACCCUGACUGACAUGUACUCACACUUCCUGCUGGUCCAGACUCAGAGGAAGAAGCAGAAGUAUGAAGGAGGACAUGAGACAAGUCCUCAGGAGCUGAUGGAUGCUGACAGUGACGUCCUCCUGAAGCUGGGGAGGCUGGCAUUGGAACAUCUGAACAGUGGAAACAUCAUGUUCUACCAAGAAGACCUGGAGCGGUGUGGUCUGGAUGUCUCAGAGGCCUCAGUGUACUCAGGAGUUUGUACAGAGAUCUUCAGAAGAGAGAGUGUGAUCUUCCAGAAAACUGUUUACUGUUUCGUUCAUCUGAGCGUUCAGGAGUUUCUGUCUGCAGUCUACAUGAUCCACAGUUUCACAACCAGGAACACAGAAGCUCUGAAGACUUUCCUAAGAAGCAACGAUGAUGAAGAUAAAAUGUCUUCUUCAGAGAUGGUUGACAGAUUUUUUCAAAACCUGGAUUAUUUUUUCUCAUCUCAGGAUGUCUUCCUGAAGAGUGUCAUGAUGAAAUCCCUUGUCAGUAAAAACGGUCACCUGGACCUGUUUGUUCGCUUCCUUCAUGGACUCUCUGUGGCGUCAAACCAGAGACUCUUAGGAGGUCUGCUGGGUCACACAGACAACAGUCCAGAAAUGAUCCAAACAGUCAUCAAGAACCUGAAGGAGAUGAACAGAGAAGAUAUCUCUCCUGACAGAAGCAUCAACAUCUUCCACUGUCUGAUGGAGAUGAACGAUCUGUCAGUUCAUCAGGAGAUUCAAGAGCUCCUGAAGUCAGGGAACAAAUCAGAGAAGAAACUCUCAGUGUUCCAGUGCUCUGCUCUGGCCUACAUGCUGCAGAUGUCAGAGGAGGUUCUGGAGGAGUUGGACUUAAAGAAUUAUAAAACAUCAGACCAGGGACGACGGAGACUGAUCCCAGCUGUGAGGAACUGCAGAAAGGCUGUGUGAGUCCAGGUUUUAUUCUCAGAAUAGUGUAAAUGAUCCCUGUAGUUCUUCUAAUGUCCACGUUACUGAUGAUGUUCUUCUUCAAAUAGAAAUCCACUCAAAUAUCAGGGAGGGGGUUUCUUCAGCAAAAACAUGAUCCUGGUGUCUAAAGUCCUGUUAGUCCAGGAUGAGGUCUACCCGUGGACCCCUGAGAACUUGUCCUAAUUGUGGAGGACCUCUUUGUUUUGAAUCGUGUCUGUAAUGAAUAAAGUGGAACUUUGAGGACAAAUCAGCGACCAUAUCUGAGGACACACAGAGGUCUUCUGAUGAUGGUAUCAGUCCAGAUCAACAUCUCAGUCAGUUGUGGUGAACUUGAGUUUGAAGAAGGUGUCUGCAGCUUCUUCCUGCUGGUUUUCAGGUUGGAAAUGAUGAAUCAGUUGUAAAUGAGGGUGUUGACAGCAUUGAUGGUGAAAAUAGAACUGGAUCAUUUUCUACACAGUGGCAGAACUGUCUUCAAAGAAAUGUUUUUAUCUGAACCAAACAGAGAAACAGGAGCUGCUGUGAUUUAGUGAGUCGUCUUCUGAUUGGUCAACAGUCAGUGCCUUACAUUAUAGCAGGAUGUCAACACUAAACACUGAGAGGAGCAUAAGUCAUGGAGUCAUUUGUCUUGAACAUCUAAACAGUUUUUUUUUUCUUCUAAACUUGGACUUCCUGUCUUCUCUCAUGGCUGUGGUCCUGAUAUUAGUAUCUGUCUGGUUAGAAACAGGCCGUCUGUCAAACCAAAGAUCAUGUUUGAGUUGUUUUUGGGGAAGAGAAACAUCAAAUAACCCUUUAAUAAAAUAUUGUUUGAUAUUUAUGUUGUUACAGAUUUUCUCUCUGUGGACUCUCAAAGACUCACUGUGAAGUUGUGGCCUCAGCUCUGAAGUCCAACCCCUCCCAUCUGAGACAUCUGGACCUGAGUAACAACGAGCUGAAGGAUUCAGGAGUGAAGCUUCUCUCUGCAGGACUGGAGAGUCCAAACUGCAGACUGGAGACUCUGAUGUGAGACACCAUUUCCUUCUGAUCUAACAAUAAGAUGUGACAGCUGCUGCCUUAGAUUUUUCUCUGUGGUUUUUCCAUCAACUUUGGUCGAGCAGUUUGAAUUUGUCGUUGUAAAACUUCGACACAGGAAGAAAAAUCUGACAUUUCAGAGUUGACUUUGAGGAGAACGAUGGAUGUAGAAAGGAAGCAGGAGAAAAUCAGUCCCACAAAUAUUACACAUGCUUGUAGAGGGCAGGAGCAGCACAGACUAAAGGCUGAUACUGAACUGAUCCACAGUUAAUGUGAUCACCAAUGAAUGAAUGAAGUGUCAGAGAAAUGAUGAGCUGCAGAUUGAAACCUGAAGAACAAAGUUAAUCCAACUCUGGAUAUUUCAUUUGGAAACUCUUGAAAACUUGAAUUUCUUCUUUGCUCAGUCGUGUUCAAAUGUAAAAACCAGAUCCAGAUUUGUCUGCAGUUUUCACUUCAGUUUGUUGAACAUGAACAUCAUCUUGUCCAGCUGGUCCAUAAAAACCUCUCUGAUCAAUGAUCUGUUGGUUUAUUUAAGAGUAGUUUGGCAGUUGUUGACAGCAGACGGACAGACCCCUGAAUAAACUCCUGACUGUUUUCAUCUUCAUGAAGAAUUCAGGACUACAAAAGAACCUUUGAGAUUUCUCACAGGAGUUUCUCAGGAUCUCACUAAAGUUUUCUGUUUCUGUAAAAUUUUCUUGACUGAUAAAUUCCUCUGGAUCUUCAAAAAGUUUAGAGAAGAUUUUACAAAGUUCCUGAAGAUCAACUCUGAAAAAGUUCUUCUUCCGUGUCCUUCAGGGUUCAAGAACAUUGAAUCAUUAAAAACAGGAACAGUUUCUUCAGAGGUUACAUGAUUUUUUUCUUUUUUCAGACUGUGACAGGUGUUUAUUAGUCUUUUUGACACGUUACAAUAAUGAGGAUAAAGUCAUGGACUAAACUUGGGCUCCCAGUUUCCUUGUUGUUGUUUCUUCAGCUAGCAUCAUUGUUUUCAUCACAGUUCUUAAAGUAAUAAUGAUGCUUCAUAAAUUCAGAGUCACAAAAAAACACCAAACAAACCAAAUCUGAAAAAAAUCCACUUUUUCAUCAAAUGAGUUUAAUCGGUCAGAACAUGAGGUUUGAGUUUUCAUGAGGAGGAAACGAGAAAGAUCUGCUCUGACAGUGAGAAACACAGACGCCUGAAUCUACACUGACAGACACACAAAUACAGACAGAGAGACACAGACAGAGAGACACAGACACAGACACACAAAUACAGACACACAGAGACACAGACACACAAACAGACUAACAGAGAUUUUCUUCUUCGUCUCUUUGCUGUGAUGACUGAAGUCACAAAAACAAAGUUUUCUUCGUCACUUUUAUGAUUGAACCAAAUAAGUUAAAGAACCAAACUCUCAGAUUUUCUUCUUCUCAAUAUUAUUUGAACCAUUUAGAUUUUUCUCCUGAUCAAUAUUCAAUGAUCAGAUUGAUCAGGUUCCUGUUUUGGCUCCACUGCCUCUUUUCUGCAGCUCAAUAACUGCUCAUAUGGUUUGAAAGGUUCCUGCAGUAAAACCCGAUUAGAGAGUGGACUAAAUGAAAUGUGAGUGAACUCAGCCAUCAGUGAAUCAAUGACAAAGUGAGAGGAAGAGUGGAUCUGUCUGCUGUCUGACCUUGUUGAUCCUGAUGAAGGUGAGGGAGAAGAGUAAAGCAGUAAAGGUGAUGUUGUUGCAGACAGAGUCAGCUGACCUGUCUCAUCAGAGUCUCAUCCAUUCUCUGUUUGGCAGAGCGCUGAUGUUACAGUCUGAGAGCACAUUCAGGUUCAGCUUCACAUGGGCUGGAUCUGCUCAAUACAAACUCUUGAGACCAGCCUGGUUGAGGGAGGUGGGCUCAGUGUCCUGGGUGACUCUCUCUGAGCUCUUCUUGGUUGAGAGUAUUUCUGGUUUGUCUCUGACUUCCAUGAACUCAGAUCUGGAGGAUUGCUGGCUGGUCCGGUCCAGUUCUGACAGUAGAGACAACACAGUCUGUUAUUCUGGGUUGAGUGUUCUUGUUGAAGAUCAGUGUACAGUGAGGGAUGAAGGCAGACAAAGAUCCUCCUGUUUCCUCCAUGUCACAGUUCAAGUUCAUUUUGAAGACUUUGAUUGAUACGAGCGCUGAAGAGGAACAGGAAACGUGGAGUAGAGAGUGAGGGAGGACUUACAGCAAAGGAUCAUGGGAGUCCAACCAGCAACUGCUGCAACAAGGACUCCACCUUCUGAUCAUCUGAACCUCUAAUCCAAACCAGUGCUCCAUCACAUUUGAUGUCUUGUCUGUUAUUUUACAUGGAGGGUCAGAGCAGACCAGAUCAUGAGCUCUGACAGACUGGAUCUGGUCCAAAGGUCUCCUGUUGGAGUUCUCUAAGCUCCAUAUUUUAAUCCUGAACACCUGAAGUUUGAUUAUUAAUUAUUUUUAUCUUCAUUCUCUUUCCUUUUUUCAGAUUGUAUAAAUGCAGUUUGUCAGAGAUCAGCUGUUCUUCUCUGGCCUCAGCUCUGAAGUCCAACCCCUCCCAUCUGAGAUAUCUGGACCUGAGUUACAACAAUCUGCAGGAUUCAGGAAUGAAGCUGCUGUGUGACUCUCUGCAGAGUCCAAACUGUAAACUGGAGACUCUGAGGUGAGACACCAUUUCCUUCUGAUCUAACAAUAAGAUGUGACAGCUGCUGCCUUAGAUUUUUCUCUGUGGUUUUUCCAUCAACUUUGGUCGAGCAGUUUGAAUUUGUCGUUGUAAAACUUCAACACAGGAAGAAAAAUCCGACAUUUCAGAGUCGACUUUGAGGAGAACGAUGGAUGUAGAAAGGAAGCAGGAGAAAAUCAGUCCACAAAUAUUACACAUGCUUGUAGAGGGCAGGAGCAGCACAGACUAAAGGCUGAUACUGAACUGAUCCACAGUUAAUGUGAUCACUAAUGAAUGAAUGAAGUGUCAGAGAAAUGAUGAGCUGCAGAUUGAAACCUGAAGAACAAAGUUAAUCCAACUCUGGAUAUUUCAUUUGGAAACUCUUGAAAACUUGAAUUUCUUCUUUGCUCAGUCGUGUUCAAAUGUAAAAACCAGAUCCAGAUUUUUCUGCAGUUUUCACUUCAGUUUGUUGAACAUGAACAUCAUCUUGUCCAGUUGGUCCAUAAAAACCUCUCUGAUCAAUGAUCUGUUGGUUUAUUUAAGAGUAGUUUGGCAGUUGUUGACAGCAGACGGACAGACCCCCUGAAUAAACUCCUGACUAUUUUCAUCUUCAUGAAGAAUUCAGGACUACAAAAAAACCUUUGAGAUUUCUCACAGGAGUUUCUCAGGAUCUCACUAAAGUUUUCUGUUUCUGUAAAAUUUUCUUGACUGAUAAAUUCCUCUGGAUCUUCAAAAAGUUUAGAGAGGAUUUUACAAAGUUCCUGAAGAUCAACUCUGAAAAAGUUCUUCUUCCGUGUUCCUUCAGGGUUCAAGAACAUUGAAUCAUUAAAAACAGGAACAGUUUCUUCAGAGGUUACAUGAUUUUUUUCUUUUUUCAGACUGUGACAGGUGUUUAUUAGUCUUUUUGACACGUUACAAUAAUGAGGAUAAAGUCAUGGACUAAACUUGGGCUCCCAGUUUCCUUGUUGUUGUUUCUUCAGCUAGCAUCAUUGUUUUCAUCUCAGUUAUUAAAGUAAUAAUGAUGCUUCAUAAAUUCAGAGUCACAAAAAAACACCAAACAAACCAAAUCUGAAAAAAAUCCACUUUUUCAUCAAAUGAGUUUAAUCGGUCAGAACAUGAGGUUUGAGUUUUCAUGAGGAGGAAACGAGAAAGAUCUGCUCUGACAGUGAGAAACACAGACGCCUGAAUCUACACUGACAGACACACAAAUACAGACAGAGAGACACAGACAGAGAGACACAGACACAGACACAGACACACAAAUACAGACACACAGAGAGACAGACACACAAACACAGACUAACAGAGAUGUUCCUCUCUGUCUCUUUGCUGUGAUGACUGAAGUCACAAAAACAAAGUUUUCUUCGUCACGUUUAUGAUUGAACCAAAUAAGUUAAAGAACCAAACUCUCAGAUUUUCUUCUUCUCAAUAUUAUUUGAACCAUUUUGAUUUUUCUCCUGAUCAAUAUUCAAUGAUCAGAUUGAUUAGGUUCCUGUUUUGGCUCCACUGCCUCUUUUCUGCAGCUCAAUAACUGCUCAUAUGGUUUGAAAGGUUCCUGCAGUAAAACCCGAUUAGAGAGUGGACUAAAUGAAAUGUGAGUGAACUCAGCCAUCAGUGAAUCAAUGACAAAGUGAGAGGAAGAGUGGAUCUGUCUGCUGUCUGACCUUGUUGAGCCUGAUGAAGGUGAGGGAGAAGAGUAAAGCAGUAAAGGUGAUGUUGUUGCAGACAGAGUCAGCUGACCUGUCUCAUCAGAGUCUCAUCCAUUCUCUGUUUGGCAGAGCACUGAUGUUACAGUCUGAGAGCACAUUCAGGUUCAGCUUCACAUGGGCUGGAUCUGCUCAAUACAAACUCUUGAGACCAGCCUGGUUGAGGGAGGUGGGCUCAGUGUCCUGGGUGACUCUCUCUGAGCUCUUCUUGGUUGAGAGUAUUUCUGGUUUGUCUCUGACUUCCAUGAACUCAGAUCUGGAGGAUUGCUGGCUGGUCCGGUCCAGUUCUGACAGUAGAGACAACACAGUCAGUUAUUCUGGGUUGAGUGUUCUUGUUGAAGAUCAGUGUACAGUGAGGGAUGAAGGCAGACAAAGAUCCUCCUGUUUCCUCCAUGUCACAGUUCAAGUUCAUUUUGAAGACUUUGAUUGAUCCGAGCGCUGAAGAGGAACAGGAAACGUGGAGUAGAGAGUGAGGGAGGACUUACAGCAAAGGAUCAUGGGAGUCCAACCAGCAACUGCUGCAACAACGACUCCACCUUCUGAUCAUCUGAACCUCUAAUCCAAACCAGUGCUCCAUCACAUUUGAUGUCUUGUCUGUUAUUUUACAUGGAGGGUCAGAGCAGACCAGAUCAUGAGCUCUGACAGACUGGAUCUGGUCCAAAGGUCUCCUGUUGGAGUUCUCUAAGCUCCAUAUUUUAAACCUGAACACCUGAAGUUUGAUUAUUAAUUAUUUUUAUCUUCAUUCUCUUUCCUUUUUUCAGAUUGUAUAAAUGCAGUUUGUCAGAGAUCAGCUGUUCUUCUCUGGCCUCAGCUCUGAAGUCCAACCCCUCCCAUCUGAAACAUCUGGACCUGAGUUACAACAAGCUGCAGGAUUCAGGAGUGAAGCUUCUGUGUGAAUUUGUGCAGAGUCCAAACUGUAAACUGGAGACUCUGAAGUGAGACUUUUUCCCUCCAUUCAAACAUGAUCAUGAUUUGUUUGUGAUGAUGACACUAAACUGCUGACUCAGGACUGAAAUACUGACCCAGACUGAACACCUUCAGUCCAGAGUAGAUUUUCUUCAUCAGUGGAUUAUUUGAUUGACUCCAGUUAGAUCACUGCUGAGCUCCAGUGAAUUAAAACCUGAACCCAAGAAGAAAACUCUUUGUAGAGUUCACAGUGAGAAGCUCAUUCAGACAGAAAACAGAAGCAGGGGGAGAUUUGUCAGAUGAGAACCAUUCAAACUUUUGUUCAGGACAAGAUCAGGGAAUAGAAAAAACUCAGAGUUUAGUUUCUGACACUGAUGAAAGUCCAGCUCUGUUACUUUGAAUUUUGUUUUUGAAUCUUUGUGUGAAAAUCUGAAUUUUCUGGUUUAUCUGCACUUUUCUGAAGCCUUACUGUGUUUAGACUGAAAUAUUUACCUCUCAAAGACGUGAAAUUUUUGGUUCAGCAAAGUGAAAAUAUUCUGAACAUCCUUUGUUUCCCAUCCGUCCUGAAGUCACUGACAUUUUCUGAAAAUAUUGAGCUGCAUCUACAAUCAGUAAAAAAGUCUCUGAGUUUUUUAUUUCACUAUUUAAUGUGUUUUUGAAUUCACUGUUUCAAACUGACUUCCUGUUUGGUUCAGCUCUUUGGAGCGUCACUUUUCUCUGAUUUAUACUUUCCAAACCUUUCCCCUGAACUCUACAGAUUUAAGACAUCAGGUUUCAAACUGGAUCAUUUUUCUCUAAAAUCUCAUUAUUUCCUCUUUAUUUAGGUUAAUGAGCUGCAGUUUGACGAAGAUCAGCUGUUCUUCUCUGGCCUCAGCUCUGAAGUCCAACCCCUCCCAUCUGAAAACUCUGUGGCUGUAUGGAAACAAUCUGCAGGGUUCAGACAUGAAGCUGCUGUGUGAUCUUCAGAAGAGUCCUGACUACAGACUGAGGACUCUGAAGUCAGUAUAGAGUUGGAGUUAGUCUGUGCUGAUCUCUCCUGUUCCUCUCCACACAGUAUCACAGCAGAUAUUCAGUAUUUCCUGCUGACUCUUCGACCCUCUCAGAGGAUUAUCUCUUUAGUGAAGCUGUGAGAACAGAAAUCAUCAAACCAGGAGUGUAAGAGUGUCAGUGAUGAAAAAAGUGUCUCCUCGUCUCUAUAUUUCAGAUCAAAUGUAGAAAUGAGACAUAAUGAAACAGAAAUGUUCAGUUUCUGCUCUGAAGUCCAGUUUAUAGUUCUCUGUAUUCAACACAGACUUUAUUUCUCUGCUAACUUGUUGAUUUUGAGCUCUAAGUCUGAAAACAGACAGCUGUUCUUUAUACUUGUUAUUUUCACAGCAGGUUUGUUCGAUCAGCUUUAACACAUUUGACAGGAAUGAUUUCUUUAUUUUGAUGAUGUUGGUUUAUUUGUGAGGAAACCUGCUGCUUUACACCAUCACUUCUGGUCUGAGCAGGACUGAGACCUGCUGGUCUGUAAACUGGAUGUUCUUCAGUCCAGCUGAUGAAGUGAGUCUCAGAGUGGAAACACUGAUCGUCUUUUUUUCUCUCCUCAGAUGGAGUUAACAUCUGUCAGAGUGAUUAAGAAGAGGAUCAUGUGUUUCCUGACGAUCAGAGAGGUGGAGGCAGCAGCAGUGAGGGUGAGGUGAGUCUCUGACUGAGAGACUGACUGACCAAUCACAGCGGGCGGAGAGGACUCUGGGAGCUGCACUUUGACCUGCUCUGAGAUCAGCUCAGGACCUGGACUCUGGAUAUUUGAUAUUUUCCCUCAUAUUCUGGGAUCAAACAGUCUGAACAGGUUUGUUUUGUUGAUGGAAACAUGAUCAUAAAUUUACACUUUGAUUGGAUUACUUUGUUUUCACCAUGAUGCAGCGCCACCCAGUGGAAAUAUAAAGAGGUGGAGUUGAUUUAUUCCCUCAUAUUUCUGCAGCAGGAGUUGAUACCAUGUGUGAGAGUAGAUCAGUCAGAAGUUCAGAUUAAACCCAAAGGUUUUUUCUUUCCUUUGCACCGUUACAGACCGAAUAUAAACUGAAGGGAGAGGAAGAGAAGUGAGGAGAGAUGGAGGUGAAGGGAGGAGGAGGACAGGGUUUGGGGUUUUAACAAAAAUCUGAAGCUUUAUUCUUUCACUUGAUUAUUUUUAUUCAUCCGUUUUCUUCUUCAUUUUCUGAAAUGAUUGUAAAUAUUGACUGGAGGUAAAUUUGUCUUAUUUAAUAUUAUUAGACACUAUUUUCCGUCUCUUUACAUGUUUUUGUUCUCAUAUCAUCUUUGUGCUCAUCAAUAAUCGAUUCCCUCCAGUUUGAACAAAUACAAUUAUUAAACCAUAAAUGAGACCUGAGAGUAAAAUUAAAAUGUGUGAAAUAUAAUCAGUCAAAAGAAAGAUUCUUGAACAAAAACAAAAUCAUUAUUUUUACUUUAUUAUGAUGGAGAAGUUUUCCUCUGACAGACAAAAAUAACCGUAUUGACUGGAGUCUGGAAAAAGUGAGAUCAGCAUCUAUUCAGGGUGAAGUCAUUAACGUGGUCGAUGCUGUUUUAUAAACUCAGUGUUGUUGAUUACAAUCUCAGCUUCAUAAACUGAUGCUACAGCUCAUGUCACAGUCUGCUCACACCACAGAAACAUUAAACAUAGAACUAUUGUGAACAGAUUUGUCCUCUUCAGCUAAUCUACUAUCAAUAGAUCUGUGCUCUGUCUGUGUAACACUAUGUUGGUUCUUCAUUUACUCCAGAUCAUUUUUUUAUGUCAUUUCACUGUAACAAUGUCAUUUAAAGAUAAUAAAAACUUUAUUUGAACUAAAACAUGUUAAAAACAUCAACUCAGCUUGUUUCAUUUACUGUGUGCAAUUGAUUAUUAUUAUUUUUCAUUCAAACAGAAACUAGAUUUGGUCUUUAAAAAGUCCUCAAAGUGAG